CCAGAUCUAUUACUUCCUUCUGA
This 23-nucleotide microRNA is filed under the name Heligmosomoides polygyrus. RNAcentral describes it as "hpo-miR-750-3p". Its record names the gene hpo-miR-750-3p. Lineage: Eukaryota; Metazoa; Nematoda; Chromadorea; Rhabditida; Heligmosomidae. The record is from miRBase by way of RNAcentral.